This 912-nucleotide long non-coding RNA is filed under the name Gadus morhua (Atlantic cod). RNAcentral's name for it is "lncRNA (ENSGMOG00000031392.1)". The record is from RNAcentral. Lineage: Eukaryota; Metazoa; Chordata; Actinopteri; Gadiformes; Gadidae.
UUGCGAGAUGCUUCAUGAACCACCAAAACACAAAACGCGAGCUUGUUGAACUUGUGUCUCUGUAAGAAUAAUCUACGCGUUGAGCAUUUACCACUUGCCUCAUACCUAGCCCGAGACGACCUACCACAAAGGAUCGAAUUAGUCACUCUGGUCGAACUUGGAGUCAGAAUGGACUUUGUUUUAGGCUGGAGGAAACUUUUUUCAUUUCUUCCAGUCUUAUUGGCUGCCGUUGGCGUUUGUGGUGACACGUGCAAAGUCACCCAUCAGGGCAAAGCAACGACGUACAACAUCUCAAACCCUAAGAGCAAUCCAACGUGUGAUUACAGCUGGGCUGAUUCUAAUCUGUUGGUACUGGCAACUGAUGCCGAACCCGAAGGAAAAGGAAUUAUAUCCUCAUCUCACUCCUCUCUCACUUUGCUUGGAUGCUGGAAGAAUGUUUGUGUUACAAUUUAUUGCCAUCUGAAGCACCACACAACCUGCUGCUACACUAACUGCCCUGCUGCACCAGAACCUCCAGCUGACUUCACUGCUGCACCAGAACCUCCAGUUGGUGCAUUUGGUGACACGUGCACAGUCACCCAUCAGGGCAAAGCAACGACGUACAACAUCUCAAACCCUAAGAGCAAUCCAACGUGUGAAUACAGCUGGGCUGAUUCUAAUCUAUUGGUACUGGCAACUGAUGCCGAACCCGAAGGAAAAGGAAUUAUAUCCUCAUCUCACUCCUCUCUCACUUUGCUUGGAUGCUGGAAGAAUGCUUGUGUUACAAUUUAUUGCCAUCUGAAGCCCCACACAACCUGCUGCUACACUAACUGCACUGAUGCACCAGAACCUCAAGGUAGGGAUGCAUUACUUUCACUAACUCCACAAAUGGCAACAUGCAAACCUAUGUCUUCCGUCUUAGUUAUCUGGUAG